Molecule: ribosomal RNA, 496 nt
Filed under: uncultured bacterium
Lineage: Bacteria
Description: partial 16S ribosomal RNA
Rfam family: Bacterial small subunit ribosomal RNA
Source: RNAcentral
GAUGAACGCUGGCGGCGUGCCUAAUACAUGCAAGUCGAGCGAACGGACGAGAAGCUUGCUUCUCUGAUGUUAGCGGCGGACGGGUGAGUAACACGUGGAUAACCUACCUAUAAGACUGGGAUAACUUCGGGAAACCGGAGCUAAUACCGGAUAAUAUUUUGAACCGCAUGGUUCAAAAGUGAAAGACGGUCUUGCUGUCACUUAUAGAUGGAUCCGCGCUGCAUUAGCUAGUUGGUAAGGUAACGGCUUACCAAGGCAACGAUGCAUAGCCGACCUGAGAGGGAAAUCGCCACACUGGAACUGAGACACGGUCCAGACUCCUACGGGAGGCAGCAGUAGGGAAUCUUCCGCAAUGGGCGAAAGCCUGACGGAGCAACGCCGCGUGAGUGAUGAAGGUCUUCGGAUCGUAAAACUCUGUUAUUAGGGAAGAACAUAUGUGUAAGUAACUGUGCACAUCUUGACGGUACCUAAUCAGAAAGCCACGGCUAACUACGUG